GAUGAACGCUGGCGGCGUGCCUAAUACAUGCAAGUCGAGCGAACAGACGAGGAGCUUGCUCCUCUGACGUUAGCGGCGGACGGGUGAGUAACACGUGGAUAACCUACCUAUAAGACUGGGAUAACUUCGGGAAACCGGAGCUAAUACCGGAUAAUAUAUUGAACCGCAUGGUUCAAUAGUGAAAGACGGUUUUGCUGUCACUUAUAGAUGGAUCCGCGCCGCAUUAGCUAGUUGGUAAGGUAACGGCUUACCAAGGCAACGAUGCGUAGCCGACCUGAGAGAGUGAUCGGCCGCACUGGAACUGAGACACGGACCAGACUCCUACGGGAGGCAGCAGUAGGGAAUCUUCCGCAGUGGGCGAAAGCCUUGCGGAGCAACGCCGCGUGAGUGGUGAAGGUCUUCGGAGCGUAAAACUCUGUUAUUAGGGAAGAACAAAUGUGUAAGUAACUAUGCACGUCUUGACGGUACCUAAUCAGAAAGCCACGGCUAACUACGUG
RNAcentral lists this ribosomal RNA (497 nucleotides) under uncultured bacterium. RNAcentral's name for it is "partial 16S ribosomal RNA". It matches the Rfam family "Bacterial small subunit ribosomal RNA", at positions 28 to 507 of the family's 1533-position model. The record is from RNAcentral.